GAGAGAGAGAACGGAAUCAAGCGAAUGAGAGCGCAUGAGUGUGUGUGGAGAGAGAACGGAAUCAAGUGAAUGAGAGCGCGUGAGUGUGUGUGGAGAGAGAGAACAGAGUCAAGCGAAUGAGAGCGCGUGAGUGUGUGUGUGGAGAGAGAGAACAGAGUCAAGCGAAUGAGAGCGCGUGAGUGUGUAUGUGGAGAGAGAGAACGGAAUCAAGCGAAUGAGAGCGCGUCAGUGUGUGUGUGGAGAGAGAGAACGGAAUCAAGCGAAUGAGAGCGCGUGAGUGUGUGUGUGGAGAGAGAACAGAGUCAAGCGAAUGAGAGCGCGUGAGGG
This 327-nucleotide long non-coding RNA is filed under the name Pan troglodytes (chimpanzee). RNAcentral's name for it is "long non-coding RNA NONPTRT008306". The record is from RNAcentral. Lineage: Eukaryota; Metazoa; Chordata; Mammalia; Primates; Hominidae.